This 264-nucleotide ribosomal RNA is filed under the name uncultured bacterium. Its description in RNAcentral is "partial 16S ribosomal RNA". It matches the Rfam family "Bacterial small subunit ribosomal RNA", at positions 334 to 615 of the family's 1533-position model. The record is from RNAcentral.
UUUUCCUACGGGGGGCAGCAGUGGGGGAUAUUGCACAAUGGGGGGAACCCUGAUGCAGCGACGCCGCGUGGGUGAAGAAGCGCCUCGGCGCGUAAAGCCCUGUCAGCAGGGAAGAAAAUGACGGUACCUGAAGAAGAAGCCCCGGCUAACUACGUGCCAGCAGCCGCGGUAAUACGUAGGGGGCAAGCGUUAUCCGGAUUUACUGGGUGUAAAGGGGGCGCAGACGGAAAGGCAAGUCAGAGGUGACAGCCCAAGGCUCAACCA